This 1157-nucleotide ribosomal RNA is filed under the name marine metagenome. RNAcentral describes it as "bacterial SSU rRNA". It matches the Rfam family "Bacterial small subunit ribosomal RNA", at positions 348 to 1520 of the family's 1533-position model. The record is from RNAcentral.
GCAGCAGUGGGGAAUUUUCCGCAAUGGGCGAAAGCCUGACGGAGCAACGCCGCGUGAGGGACGAAGGCCUCUGGGCUGUAAACCUCUUUUCUCAAGGAAGAAGAUAUGACGGUACUUGAGGAAUAAGCCACGGCUAAUUCCGUGCCAGCAGCCGCGGUAAUACGGGAGUGGCAAGCGUUAUCCGGAAUUAUUGGGCGUAAAGCGUCCGCAGGCGGCCUUUCAAGUCUGCUGUUAAAGCGUGGAGCUUAACUCCAUCAUGGCAGUGGAAACUGAAAGGCUUGAGUAUGGUAGGGGCAGAGGGAAUUCCCGGUGUAGCGGUGAAAUGCGUAGAUAUCGGGAAGAACACCAGUGGCGAAGGCGCUCUGCUGGGCCAUUACUGACGCUCAUGGACGAAAGCCAGGGGAGCGAAAGGGAUUAGAUACCCCUGUAGUCCUGGCCGUAAACGAUGAACACUAGGUGUCGGGGGAAUCGACCCCUUCGGUGUCGUAGCUAACGCGUUAAGUGUUCCGCCUGGGGAGUACGCACGCAAGUGUGAAACUCAAAGGAAUUGACGGGGGCCCGCACAAGCGGUGGAGUAUGUGGUUUAAUUCGAUGCAACGCGAAGAACCUUACCAGGGUUUGACAUCCUGAGAACCUCUUAGAAAUUUGAGGGUGCCUUCGGGAAUUCAGUGACAGGUGGUGCAUGGCUGUCGUCAGCUCGUGUCGUGAGAUGUUGGGUUAAGUCCCGCAACGAGCGCAACCCACGUUUUUAGUUGCCAGCAUUUAGUUGGGCACUCUAGAAAGACCGCCGGUGAUAAACCGGAGGAAGGUGUGGAUGACGUCAAGUCAUCAUGCCCCUUACACCCUGGGCUACACACGUACUACAAUGCUACGGACAAAGGGCAGCAAACUCGCGAGAGCUAGCAAAUCCCAUAAACCGUGGCUCAGUUCAGAUCGUAGGCUGCAACUCGCCUACGUGAAGUAGGAAUCGCUAGUAAUCGCAGGUCAGCAUACUGCGGUGAAUACGUUCCCGGGCCUUGUACACACCGCCCGUCACACCAUGGAAGUUGGCCAUGCCCGAAGUCGUUACUCCAACCCUUGUGGAGGAGGACGCCGAAGGUGGGGCUAAUGACUGGGGUGAAGUCGUAACAAGGUAGCCGUACCGGAAGGUGCGGCUG